RNAcentral lists this unclassified non-coding RNA (319 nucleotides) under Neospirorchis sp. 1 CT-2016. RNAcentral describes it as "sequence contains ITS2". The record is from RNAcentral. Lineage: Eukaryota; Metazoa; Platyhelminthes; Trematoda; Strigeidida; Spirorchiidae.
CUUAUUAUCUAUCACGGCGCACAAUUUGUCGUGGCUUGGAUGCUGUGCCAACCGGCCUGUUUAUCUCACGUAUCCAUGGUAUACGGUUGUGGGAUGCUGGUUUAAUGGCUCCAUCCUAAUGUGUCCAGCUGCAACAUUGUUCGGGUCUGAUGGCUCGUUUGGGUUGUAGCGAUGGGUUUUGCCCUUGUCGUGGCUCAAUGUUGUUGAUCACGCUUGGUGUCUUGAUCUGUCGUUCAUGGCUCUUUCUUGCUAUUAUGAUCUGGGAAUCCCUUGCAGUUGAUGAGCAUUUAAAAGCUUUAACCUGUUGACCCUGACCUCG